CUGUGCUGCCAUGGCAACCAGGGAUGCAAAACUGCUGCUUAAAUCCCUAAAGGAGCAAAUCCUCCACACCACCAGCGCCAAGGCGUCCUCUCACCUCAUUCCCCACCAGCUGUUUUUGGUCCUGGGAGCUGCUGAGAGCUGCUCCUGCCUGGUGACACGCUCACACCAGGGUGUGACACCCCUGUUCCCCACGAGCCUGCCUUCCCAGGCCUCAAGCAGAUCCUGUUGUACAAUGUUCCAUCCCUGAGCUCUUUUGAGGCCGUGUGGCUGCUGUCAUCUCACCAGGCUGGAUCAGAUCUCCCAGAAAAACCCCAGGUAGCUCCCUCAAGCCUGAACAUCCUCAUUCUCCCUCAUCACUAAGAGAAAGGGAAUGUUGUGCUGCAGAGACCUUCUCCAGGGAAGUUUGGAAAACACCAGGGACAAGCACGAGGUUCUGGGCUGCAGCCACAGGGAACAGUCCUGCUGCUUCCCACUGCUUCUUCCAGAUGUUCCUCGGCUCUACCAACUUCAUUUGGGGUCUCCCUUCAACGUCCCCCCAAGGUGCUGCACCCUGACUCGGCAGGACAAAGUCUUGGAGGCCUCUGAGGCUUCUGGAUAUCUUUGGUGUGUGUUGGCACAAAGGCAGUCCAGCCAGGACAGAUUCUCCUUGUGCUUUGGCUCUGGGGUGGUUGAUGGCCCUGGAUUACACUGGAGCAGCAGGGAAGCUCUGGGCUGGGCUAGAGAUGUGUGCAAGCCCUUCGUGCCCCAGAGGAGGCUUCAAGGUUUGCUUUUGUGCAUUGGGGAUCUGCGUUUCUGACACCACAGGACUUGCACUGAGGUGGAGCUGCACCAGCCCUGAGCAUCACGGUGGUUUGGUUUCCUCCUAUGCUUUUAUUGUGUUCCUGAUGCUUGUGGUUUGUAGCGAGAAAUCUUUCCCCAGAAAAUCCUGCCAGAAGUCGCUGUGUUCCCAAUCACCGCUUCCUCCUCCUGGGGCUGGCUGUGCUUGGAUGCAGAGUCCCUGUGCCCAGCCCCACUCUUGGGUAUUUGUGGCAGUUUUGGAGGGAUUAGUGUUAACAUUCACCCCAAAACGUCAGCGUCCAUCUCCUUUCAGCAGCUGCAGCAUCCCCCGGGCGGGCGGCAGCCACAGAAUUUGGUCCCUCUUCCCCUUCCCGGGGGAGACGUGGGAGAGAUCAACACACCAAAGCAAUUAAAAAAUAAUAAUCACAGACCAGUAGAAAAGGAAAAAGCAUAAAAAGUGGGACUAAUUUUAUGACAAGAAAUGAGGCUGUAAAACCAGGAGCAAUUAGAGCACAAAGGCAAUUAAACCAUUUCAAAAGGCUCAGUGAAAUUUA
Non-coding RNA from Cyanistes caeruleus (blue tit), 1331 nucleotides. The record is from RefSeq and is a predicted model, not a curated record. NCBI's taxonomy places the organism in Eukaryota, Metazoa, Chordata, Aves, Passeriformes, Paridae.